AACCUACUUUUGGAUUUUUUGACUUGAAAAAAAAGAUAAAAGAAAAGCUGAGGAUGAGCUGAAGAAGGCUGUGCAAGUAAAGAGGCAGAAGAGAGCUGCUCGGAAAAAGAAGAUUGAAACAAAGAGGAAGAAGCGAGCUGAUCAGAAAAAGAAUAUUGAAUCAAAGAAACAGAAGAAGAAAGAAGAGUCUGAGGAGUUUGAUGAAUCUGAGCACCAGGAGCAGAAGAGCCCUCCUGCCAAAGCUAUGGUGCCAGCCAAAAAAAAUCUGAAUGUUGUUGCUGCUUAUUCUGAUUCUGAGUCUGAGUCCGAGUCUGAUCAUUCUUGGGGCGGUUAUGUGUGCGAACUUGAUACUGAUGGUAUUGACUCCUCGGAUGAUGAACAUCUGAAAGCACGUAUUGCUGCAAAGACAAUGUCCAUAGGCAACUUUUCAUUUAAUAUUGAUCAAGCGGAAAUUUUAUUCAAAGAUGCUGGUGGAGUUGUUGAAGUUCGUUUCCCAAACAAUGAGGUAGCAGUGUUCCGGGGCUUUGAACAUGUCGAACUUCCUCCUCUUCUUGCAAAGAAGAAACCUGAUCCCAAUCAUAUUCCUUCUGAUCCUGAGUCUGAUUAUUCUGGUGCUGAUGUGAAUGCGAAUUUUGUGUGUAAAAACGAUACUGAUGGUAUUGUCUCCUCAGAUGGUUAACUCCUCAAAAUGAGACAACUAAAUUAGACUCACUACCUAACCUGGCUGCAGCUAGAUCUGAUACAAAGCAGGAAAAUUGAAGCUUAAAGAUUGCGGCUUGGUGCUUUUGAUUACUAUACCGACAAACCAACUUGUUAUUUAACUAGGAUUAAGUUAUUAAUAUAGUGAACUUCUCUUGUUUUUAUGCUGACUUUUGUCACAUGGGAUGUUUGACUGUUAUAUUUUAUACUUAAUCGUUUUGUGAUUUAUCUUAA
Ziziphus jujuba (common jujube) is the source of this 933-nucleotide RNA transcript. RefSeq lists it as uncharacterized. Lineage: Eukaryota; Viridiplantae; Streptophyta; Magnoliopsida; Rosales; Rhamnaceae. The transcript is spliced from 7 exons. The record is from RefSeq and is a predicted model, not a curated record.